Lutra lutra (Eurasian river otter) is the source of this 112-nucleotide long non-coding RNA. RefSeq lists it as uncharacterized. The record is from RefSeq and is a predicted model, not a curated record. The transcript is spliced from 3 exons. NCBI's taxonomy places the organism in Eukaryota, Metazoa, Chordata, Mammalia, Carnivora, Mustelidae.
UCGAGGGCCAUGCAGGUUGAUCCUCAUUUGGGGUUUCUGGGUAGCCCCAUAGGGCAACGUUUUUAAUCUGGUGGGCAGACAGAGUGCUGCAUUGUGGUUCUGGAUAGCCAAA